Trachemys scripta elegans is the source of this 465-nucleotide long non-coding RNA. RefSeq lists it as uncharacterized. The record is from RefSeq and is a predicted model, not a curated record. The transcript is spliced from 3 exons. Lineage: Eukaryota; Metazoa; Chordata; Testudines; Emydidae.
CUUUUCUACUGAAUCCAAACCUUGGCUGGAGAGUCAAAAGGCCUGCUCUUCUCCUGGCUCCAGACUCCUCCUUAUAGAAAACAAAGAAGAGCUGGAUUUUAUAAGCCCCCUGGCAACUUCUCACUGGAUAGGAUUGUCACGUGAGAAGACCGACAGAUUGUGGAUGUGGGUGAACGGUACAGCUUUUUCCACUGACUGGUUUGCAAUAAAUAAAGGAUACAUUGAUGGGAACUGUGCACUUGUCACAGGUGGAGAACUCUCCUCUGGUCCAUGCAAAGAUGAAAAGCGCUAUAUUUGUGAGCAGCUGGUUCUUUGGCCAAAGCCUGACAUAUCAGCAUGAAAUGGACCAUGGAAAUCAUAAAAUCUGGGGCAUCCCAAACACAAUGACAAAUAUAUCCCAAUAAAUACUACCACUUUCAACUUUCCCUCUUCAGAGGCUACAUUUAUGCUGUAAAAUUGUAACAC